Molecule: long non-coding RNA, 172 nt
Organism: Pseudophryne corroboree (corroboree frog)
Lineage: Eukaryota; Metazoa; Chordata; Amphibia; Anura; Myobatrachidae
Exons: 3
Source: RefSeq, a predicted model, not a curated record
CCACACCCAUGGUUGCAGGUUGGGAGAUCCUUUAUGAUACAACUGUGGGUCCUUCUGGAAGUUCCAGUUUUUUAAUAAUUAUCUUUACUCUGGAUAUACCUUUUUGUUGCUUUUUAAACAUCCUUAUUGCAGAACCAUUGAUGUAAUAUUUUGAUCCUAAUAUUUUUUGGUA